CCUUAUUGUAAAUAAUUUCUGUGUUUUUGGUGCCUCGGCUAAAAUGUUGGUGCACAGUCUAUUAGUGCUCUCCAUAAUAGUUGCUGGAGUGUGUUCUUAUAAAUGUGAACAGUUUGUUCCUGGAUUUGUCCAGUUCCGGGCUAUUAAUAAUGAAAGAGCUGCCCUGGCUCCGUGUCCAGGAGUGAAGGUGACAUGAUGCAAUCCAGAGCAUCACUGCAUUGGAGGAGGAGGCUACAUCCCAGAUGGAGACCCCAGACAGUGUUGAGACGCUACUGCCUGAGAUGGGUAUAGAACACUCGUUGCGGGGAGUAACAGCAAGGAAAUCAUCGAAUCUUCCAUUCUCCUCUUCUAUCGCUAAUAAUUUACACACAAUUGUAAUGCGUAGAAAGGCUUCAUACAAUGUAUGCUGGAAUGUCCUUGUAAGAAAUCAAUAAAACUAAAAUAUUA
This is a long non-coding RNA of Bufo bufo (common toad), 447 nucleotides long. RefSeq lists it as uncharacterized. The transcript has 3 exons. The record is from RefSeq and is a predicted model, not a curated record. Lineage: Eukaryota; Metazoa; Chordata; Amphibia; Anura; Bufonidae.